RNAcentral lists this transfer RNA (84 nucleotides) under Candidatus Symbiothrix dinenymphae. RNAcentral's name for it is "tRNA-Leu". It matches the Rfam family "tRNA". From Rfam's summary of the family: Transfer RNA (tRNA) molecules are approximately 80 nucleotides in length. Lineage: Bacteria; Pseudomonadati; Bacteroidota; Bacteroidia; Bacteroidales. The record is from RNAcentral.
GCCCGGGUGGUGAAAUUGGUAGACACGCCACUUUGAGGGGGUGGUGCCGGUUACGGUGUGUGAGUUCGAAUCUCAUCUCGGGCA